This 492-nucleotide ribosomal RNA is filed under the name uncultured bacterium. Its description in RNAcentral is "partial 16S ribosomal RNA". It matches the Rfam family "Bacterial small subunit ribosomal RNA", at positions 29 to 507 of the family's 1533-position model. The record is from RNAcentral.
UAUGAACGCUAGCUACAGGCUUAACACAUGCAAGUCGAGGGGAAACGACAUCGAAAGCUUGCUUUUGAUGGGCGUCGACCGGCGCACGGGUGAGUAACGCGUAUCCAACCUGCCCAUCACUUGGGAAUAACCUUGCGAAAGUAAGACUAAUACCCAAUGAUAUCCCACGAAGGCAUCGGAAUGGGAUUAAAGAUUUAUCGGUGAUGGAUGGGGAUGCGUCUGAUUAGCUUGUUGGCGGGGUAACGGCCCACCAAGGCAACGAUCAGUAGGGGUUCUGAGAGGAAGGUCCCCCACAUUGGAACUGAGACACGGUCCAAACUCCUACGGGAGGCAGCAGUGAGGAAUAUUGGUCAAUGGGCGAGAGCCUGAACCAGCCAAGUAGCGUGCAGGAAGGCGGCCCUAUGGGUUGUAAACUGCUUUUAUAAGGGAAUAAAGUGGGUCACGUGUGACUUUUUGCAUGUACCUUAUGAAUAAGGACCGGCUAAUUCCGUG